Molecule: ribosomal RNA, 560 nt
Filed under: uncultured Glomeromycotina
Lineage: Eukaryota; Fungi; Glomeromycota
Description: SSU rRNA
Rfam family: Eukaryotic small subunit ribosomal RNA
Source: RNAcentral
UUGGAGGGCAAGUCUGGUGCCAGCAGCCGCGGUAAUUCCAGCUCCAAUAGCGUAUAUUAAAGUUGUUGCAGUUAAGAAGCUCGUAGUUGAAUUUCGGGACCAUCAUGUCGGUCGUGCCUCGGUACGUACUGGCAUUGUUGGUUUCUCCCUUCUGACGAACCAUGAUGUCAUUUAUUUGGUGUUGUGGGCAGGACUGUUACUUUGAAAAAAUUAGAGUGUUUAAAGCAGGCUCACGCUUGAAUACAUUAGCAUGGAAUAAUGAAAUAGGACGUUUGAUUCUAUUUUGUUGGUUUCUAGGAUCGACGUAAUGAUUAAUAGGGAUAGUUGGGGGCAUUAGUAUUCAAUUGUCAGAGGUGAAACUCUUGGAUUUAUUGAAGACUAACUACUGCGAAAGCAUUUGCCAAGGAUGUUUUCAUUAAUCAAGAACGAAAGUUAGGGGAUCGAAGACGAUCAGAUACCGUCGUAGUCUUAACCAUAAACUAUGCCGACUAGGGAUCGGAUGAUGUUAAUUUUUUAAUGACUCAUUCGGCGCCUUACGGGAAACCAAAGUGUUUGGGUUC